GAUCCUUCUCACAUCUGCUUGGUGGCUUUACCACACUCUAUUGUCUGCUGGGGGGGCCUGUGUUAUCUUAGUAGAGAGUACACACACACACACACACACACACACAGAACCAGAAGCUUCCCAUCCUUGGCCCUGCCUUCUCGUUCCCAGGCGCGUCCCUUUAUCAGUAAACAUGUGUGCUUUCCCAGGGCAAGGCGUCUCCCACGGCAGCGCCCGCUCUCUUGCUCCUCCUCCUGUCUGUCCCUACUGCCUGCCUGCUGGGGCCGCGAUUGUUCUGCUGGGGGGAGAGAACGGCCUGGUGGCUGGCUGGGGUGCUAGGAAAGAGAUGUGGAUGCUUUGGGGUGGCACACACGAGGUAGAGACCAUCAGGGGUGCCGCAUUGUGCCAGGCGUAGGGCGGGCAGGUGCAGACAAAGGGGCGUAAAGGUGCGCGGCGCUGGGACAUGGAGGAAGUGUCGGGCGGGCUGAGAGCAGGAAGCUGAGCAAGGCCUCUCGUGACCUUGCGGCCCUCACGUCCUCUUCCUCGUCUCCUUCUCCCCCUCCUCCCCUUCCUCCUUCCUUGCCUUUCUAUUCUCUUCUAUCCCUCUUCCUCAUCCUCUCCUCGGGACUCUUCCUCGUCUUCUCAGCCUUCAUCUGCCUUCCCUUCCGUUCCUUCCUCAUCCCCAUCCCACCCAGCAUCAUCUCGCCCCUUCUCACUCUUCCUCAGCCUCCCCUACCUAUACAUGUUCCAACCCUCCUCUUUGUCCCAUCUCCAUCCCCUUCUCAUCUUUCUCUCCCCAUCCUUUCAUCCUUUCCUUCACCCCGCAUUGACUCCCUCCCCUAUAUGUCCCACACCUCUUCCUUUUCCCAUAUCCGCCCCCCUUCUCAUCUUUCUCUCUGUAUCACACCCAUCCUUUCCGCCCCUUAUUCACUCCCUACCCAAGCCCUUUGAGAGAGGAUUCAAGGGAUGUCGGUGGAGGUGGCUAAGCAUUGAGGUUAUAUUUGGGGAUGUCAGGAGUGAGGUAAUAGCAUGAGGUAGGUUACGAAGGGUUAGGGGUCUAGGGAAGGGUUCUCGGCGGGGGGGAGGGGGGGGGAGGGGGUACCCAGAAAAGUGUUGUGGCCUCUUAAGGAGGUGGUGCAUCAGGAAGCCUUAGUGUGUGCCCUUGGAGAAGUGUACCUGCUCGCUCUCUCUCUCUCUCUCUCUCUCUCUCUCUCUCUCUCUCUCUCUCUCUCUCUCUCUCUCGUUUCGGGUGGUGUCUAGCAGAGUUUUAAUGAGGCGCGAGUGAUUGAGAGAGAGAGAGAGAGAGAGAGAGUGUGUGUGUCGCGUGAGGUGGGAAUGCGAUACUAGGGUUUAGGAAUGGGAAUAAAAACGAUAGAAGACGAACCUUAAGCAAGCAAGAGGAAAUAAAUGAGAAUAAGAGAAGGGGAGGUGGUAGGAGGCUGCAGAGAUGAUGAGGGAGAGGAGAUACGGAUGCGAGGAGGAGGAAGAGAAAGCAGAGAGAGAGAGAGAGAGAGAGAGAGAGAAUGUAAGUAGAGGUAACCAACGAAAGAAAGGGAAUGAAAAGUAGAAAUAUACGAGGAUGAAUAAGGGAAAGAUGAAAGGAGGCAAUAAGAAGAUACUGAACAGGGUGACGAGAAAGAGGAAUGAAGCGUAUAACCAACUCUUCUUUAAUGAUGGACAAAAAAAAAAGAAUGGAAGAGCAGGCGAUGAAAAGUCUGAGUGCUUGGUGGGGGAGGAGAAAAAGGAGGUGGAUGGGGGGCGGGGAGAGGAGGAGGAGGAGGUGGUGGGUAUUUGCUGUCAAGUGAGUCACCCCAGACAAAGGUACCCAAGGCCUUUUAUCAGUAAAUCAAUAAACACUGAAGAAGAAUUGACACCUGAGAUAUAUAGUUAGAUAAGGAUAGACAAAUAAGUGAUAAGAUCGAAUUUACCUGACAGAGAGAGAGAGAGAGAGAGAGAGAGAGAGAGAGAGAGAGAGAGAGAGAGAGAGAGAGAGAGAGAUAGCAUACCUUCCUCUUUCCUCCCCCCCCCUCCCUCCUCCACUUCAGGCAUCCUUGCAAGGGUAGACAAACACCAAAUGAGGAAGUGCAAAGCUGUGUGUGUGUGUGUGUGUGUGUGUGUGUGUGUGUGUGUGUGUGUGUGUGUGUGUGUGUGUGUGACAGGUGAAUGAAGCACCUUACUUAUCCUUCCUCUUCACCUUCCCUAUAUAGCUUCCAUUAAUCCUUUCACUUCCUUCUUCCUGUUCCUUUCCUUUCCUUUCCUCUCCUCUCUAUCGUCCUUUUUCUUUUACUGCAUUCCCUUUCACUCGCUUGCCAUCAGUGUUCUCUUUCCUUUUCUUUCCUUCCUCUUCAUACAUUUCUCCUUUUCAUCAUCUUUCAGGUAAAUUGCUUGUCUGUUCUUACUUAUCUCACCUUCACUUCUUACAUUCUCUUUCUCCAUCUAUAUAUCCGUCCCUCUCUUUCUUUACGAAGGGAAGGGGAAGCAAGUCUCCUGAAGGUCAGUCCGGCAGGGGAGGGAAGGGGUAGGCUGGGAAGUGUGUCCCCUGCCGCCCCUGCCCCUCCACCGCUUCACUGACCAUGUUUAGCAGGUGGAUGGAGCAAUGUAUCACCCCUGCUCUCCUUCCCCCUACCCUUGCACGCCCUUUCCAUGCCCUUCUCUGUUCCCCCCUUUUAUGCCAUCCCUUGCUUUCCUCUUCCACAUUUCCCUGUUGUAUUCCUCUUCCAUACUUUUCCGCGCACUACCUCCUUUCAUUCUAUUCCCUGUAUCCCUCCCUUUCCAUCCCAUUCAUGUACUCCCGUCCGUUCCCUUUUAUCUUACUUUAGUUUCAUUCACUCUGCUCCCAGCUCAUUUCAUAAUACUCCUACCAUCCCCUCCCUCCCUAUCCUUUACUCAAUACCAACCCCAUAUCCUAUUCUCCAUUCACUCUUUAUGCUCUUCUCCCCACCCCUUCCUCCCCGUACACUCCCAGGGGAAUGCUGCCUCACCCUCUUAAGAGCCUCAAAAUCGAUCUGCGGAACAUAAGGUCAUUGUUCUCAGUAUAAACCGCUAUACCACCACCUCCACCAGUCCAUUACCUUGCCCAGCGUGAGAUUAAGGCCGGUACUCUCAGAUGCCCCCGCCUCUCACAUCUGCUGGGGUAGCUUUGGAAUAGGUGCCCUUAUGGAAGAGGGCUCCUUUAGCUAGUCUCUCGUGGCGUAUACUUUUGUUUAAAUAAAAAAAAGGGAUGAAUCGCGUCCUUAUGAAUGUUUUUGUCACGUUCACGGUAUACAGAAUCAUUGUGAUACUACCAACAGGGUUAUGAGCUAUUCAUAGAAACAUGCAAACACCUACGAAAGCCUUGUCAAGUUAAUGUGUGUGCGUGGCCUCCUAAAUGUUGAACACGACCCUUAGUAAGCCCCCUGGUGGUUGUGGGGUCGUAUUUUAAAACAUUUCGUCGCCCAAGUUCACAUAUUUGACAUGGCUUUCGUAGGAGCUGUAGGCCUUUCCAGGGGUAGUUUUAUGACACUGGUGGUAGUCUGACCCUUCCUCUGUGCCAUGAACUAUAAAAAACACUCAUGAAGACCCGGUUGAUCCCCUCUGACCUUGAUAAAUAGUCGAUGUGAGAAGCGAUGGUGUCUUAAAAUACAGCCUGUGGUCCCAUAAGCUUUCCCCCCCCUCCCGCAGUACCCUCGUGUCCCCAUAUCAUCUUGCACGUCAAACGUCUGGAGGGGUAAACUGUGCAUCAGCGUGCCUCAACGUCUAAACGGCUCAUAACUCAGCGUAAUGAGGCGAGUGUGUGCACGCCGCGCCCCGCCACCGCCACCAGCUGAUGCCUCGCCCACGCCGCUGCCGCCUCCUCAUCACGUGUGAGUCACCGCCGCCGCCGCGCACAAUCGUAUUUUGGAUAUUUUUGGUCACGUCGGCCUGCGUGUGACGAGGGGAGACGCGUGUCGUGUCGUGAUGAGAACAGAGGGUGAGUGACGGCCUAGCACGAGGGAGAGAGAAAAAAAGUUACAUAAAAAACCUAACGUAAAAUAAUGUAGUUGAAAUAAGUGAAAGAGGAUAAAAAAUCACAUAGAGAGAGGAACGGAAAAAAAAAAAGAGCCGAGGCGGGAAUGACGGUUUAGCACGCGAGAGAAAAAAAGUAUCAUAAAAGGCCUAACGUAAAUAUAUCUAGAAAAAAAUAGCAUAAAAGGCCUAACGUAAAUAUAUCUAGAAAAAAAGUAGCAUAAAAGGCCUAACGUAAAUAUAUCUUGAAAAAAUGUAGCGUAAAAGGCCUAACGUAAAUAAAUUAUCUGAAAUGAACGAUAAAAUAAAGAAAAUUCACACACCCCGAAGAAGAAGGAAUCGGAAAAGAACCAACCAGGCAUGCAGGAAAGGCCUAACGUAAAUAAAGGUACAUCAAAUAAAUGAUAAACAAAAAGUCACACAAACAAAAAUAAAAACGGAAGCGAAACCAAGCAAGCACACAGGAAGAGAAAAAACAAUUACACUGGACGCACCGAUGUUGCAGUGACGUUAUUGCUUCCGUCACUCACUUGACCGGAACUGAAUGGUGAUAUUGGUGGUGGCGGAGGUGGUGUUAGCGGUGGUGCAGGGUAGUGAUGGCCGGUAGCAAUCUUGCAGUGGGAGCAGCAAAGCAUAGGGCUGUUCCCUCCCCCAAGGCUGCCGCUGCUUCCGCCCAGAGCUUACCUGUUAAAGGCGUGCAGGUGAGACCGCCCUGAACACCCCCCCAACACUGCUCCUGCUAUCGACCCAUACACACACACACACACACACACACACACACACACACACACACACACACACACACA
Eriocheir sinensis (Chinese mitten crab) is the source of this 4769-nucleotide long non-coding RNA. RefSeq lists it as uncharacterized. The record is from RefSeq and is a predicted model, not a curated record. Lineage: Eukaryota; Metazoa; Arthropoda; Malacostraca; Decapoda; Varunidae. The transcript is spliced from 2 exons.